Molecule: long non-coding RNA, 8761 nt
Filed under: Homo sapiens (human)
Lineage: Eukaryota; Metazoa; Chordata; Mammalia; Primates; Hominidae
Description: HSALNT0364752
Source: RNAcentral
AAAAGAAAAAAAAAGACACAUAGAUUGGAGGUAAAGGAAUGGAAAAUGUAUUCCAUGCAAAUGGAAACCAAAAGAACUGGGAUAGCUAUACUUAGGUAAAAUAGAUUUUAAGUAAUGUAUACAAGGAGACAAAGGUCAUUGUAUAAUGAUAAAGGGAUCAAUUCAAGAGGAUAUAACAAUUAUAAAUAUAUAUGCACUCAGCAUCAGAGCACCUAAAUAUAUAAAGCAAAGAUAUAAAGAUCUGAAGAGAUAAACUGCAAUACAAUAAUGGUAGGGUACCUCAAUACCCAUUUUCAACAAUGUACAGAUCAUGCAGACAGAAAAUCAAUAUGGAAAUGUUGGAAUUGAGCCACAGUUUAGACAAAUGGAUCUAACAUAUAUACAGAACAUUUCAUCCAAUAGCAACAGAAUACACAUUAUUUUCAAGCUCACACAGAGCUUUCUGCAGAAUAGAUCAUACAUUAAGCUACAAAAGAAAACUUAACAAAUUUAAGCAGGUUAAAGUCAUAUCCAGUAUCUUUCAACCACAGUGGUAUGAAAUUAGGAAUUAAUAAUAGGAAAAAUGUCAGAAAAUUCACAAUAUGUAGAAUUAAACCAAAUUCUCCUGUACAACCAGUGGGUCAAAGACAAAAGUAAAAGGGACAUUAAAAAUUGUCUUGAGACAAAUGAAAAUGGAAACACCACAUGCCAAAACUUGCGGGUAGCAGCCAAAGCAGUCCCAAGAGGAAGAUAAUAGCAAUAAACACCUAUAUCGAAAAAGAAGAAAGACUGUGAACCAUCUAACUUUAUAUCUUAGGGAACUAGAAAGAGAAGAAUAAAUUAAGGCCAAAGUUAGUAGGAGGAAGGAAAUAAUAAAGAUCAGAGCAGAAAUAAACACAAACUAGAAAAACAACAGAAAAGAACAAAACUAACAGUUGGUUUUUAAGAUAAAAUCAACAAACCUUGAUCUAAACUAAGAAAUGAGAGAAGGCUAAAAUAAAAUUAGAAAAUAAAGCAGAGACAUUAUACAUGAUACUACAGAUAUACCAAGGAUCUUACGAGAUUGCCAUGAACUUGCUAACAAAUUGGAUAACCUAGAAGAAAUGGAUGAAUUCCUAAAACCAUAGAAUCUAUAUGAGCCGUAUACUUUCUUAACAUUUCUGCCAUCCUCCCUAUCCUCUUUGGUAUAGCCUCUCUUCAGACUGCCUCCUUAGCUCUCUUCUGGAUCACUAUAACAGCCUAACAAUUGUAUCACCUUCAGUUUUGCUCUUCCUUCCAUAUGACUAAAUAAAUGAAAAAUUUGAUCAGACAUUAACGAGUAGGGAGAGUGAAUUGGUAAUAAAAGGUCCACUUAUUUUGUCUUACAGUGAGAGUGGCUUGCUAUUAUCUCCCAUUAUUGAUGCAUUUCUAUCUUUGUCUUCCUGCAUCCCCUGCAGUUUUUGCUUCAUAAGAAUGUUUGCAGUGUUAUUUGGUACCAUACAUAUUCAUGUUAGGUCUUUAUUGUGAAUUACAGAUUUUAGAAUUAAAAAGGAGAUUUGGGCCGGGCACAGUGGCUCACGCCUGUAAUCCCAACACUUUGGGAGGCCGAGGUGGGCAGAUCACCUGAAGUCAGGAGUUUGAGACCAGCCUGCCCAGCAUGGUGAAACCCCGUCUCUACUAAAAAAAAAUACCAAAAAUUAGCCAAGUGUGGUGUCAGGCGCCAUAAUCCCAGCUACUCAGGAGGUUAAGGCAGGAGAAUCACUUGAACCUGAGAGACGGAGGUUGUGGUAAGCCAAGAUCGCCCCAUUGUACUUUAGCCUGGACAACAAGAACGACUCUGUCCCAAAAAAAAAAAAAAAAAAGAGAUUUGAGGGUCAUAUUUAUAUUUUUUUGGCUUGGAUUCUACGUUGCCUAGUAUCAGGAUCACCUCCCCUAUUUUCUUAUUGUUCUCAUUUCCCCUAUAUUUCAUUGUCCAUCCCAUUAUUUUUAGUCUUCUUACAUCACUUUGUUUCUUGUAUACAGUAUACUGUUGGUUCUAGCUUUGUAAGACAAAUUGAAAUAAGCUGAAUAGGUGAGUCAAGCCCACUCAUCAUUCAUAUGACUGAGUGUUUGGUUUGAAGCCUGUCAUAAAAUUGUAUUGUUAUAUUUGCUAUAUUUAUUUUCUGUGCAAUGUGUACUAUUUGUCAUUUUAUGAAAAUGUUUUACUGAUAGUUAAGAAUUUUUAUUCUAGUGGUUAUCUUUGUAUUUAUACUUUAUUCUCCAUUUUCUUAUUUAAGAUUUACUAUCUAGUUUGUCAGGUUUUAAUGCCUGUAAUUCACACUUAUUGCCUAUACAGCGAUCAAUGAUUUUAAUCUCACGUCUUUUUGCUCCCAUUUUUUAGUUGUUUUAUUUCUACCUGAUUGCAACAUAUAAUGUUUGUGUAUUGGUUUUGCACUCGAAUUCCUACUGUUGGUUUAGUCUGAAAGCUACUAUUAAAUAUAGUAAAUAUUGUAAUUUUAUUUUGCUGAAGUUUUUCAGUCAUCUCUUGUUGAAUGAAGCUCAUUCAUUAGUAGAUCUUCAUGAGUGGCUCAGGGGUACAUAAUUGUCUAAGUUAUGUGUUUGAAGCUGUUUUUCUAUUAUAGUGUUUUAUACUGAAGGACAGCUUGACUGAAUAUAAAAUCUUGGUUCACACUUUCAGUUUUUUGAAAAUUUAUUGUCUUGCUUUAUAUAUAUUUUUUGAGAAAUCUGAUACCAGUCUAAUUAUUUUGCCCUUGUAAAUUAUUUGAUCACGUAUCCCUGAAUCCUCGAGGAUUAAAAAAUUUUUUUCGGCCUGGCUCGGUGGCUCACGCCUGUAAUUCCAGCACUUUGGGAGGCUGAGGCGGGCAGAUCACGAGGUCAGGAGAUCAAGGCCAUCCUGGCUAACAUGGUGAAACCCCAUCUCUACUAAAAAUACAAAAAAUUAGCCUGGUGUGGUGGUGGGCGCCUGUAGUCCUGGCUACUCGGGAGGCUGAGGCAGGAGAAUGGCGUGAACCCGGGAGGCAGAGCUUGCAGUGAGCCGAGAGUGCGCCACUGCACUCCAGCCUGGGCAACAGAGCGAGACUCCGUCUCAAAAAAAAAAAAAGAAAAAAAGAAAAAUUUUUUUUUCAAGUUUAAAUAGUUUUACUGAGAUGUGUCUUGGAGUUAACAUUCAAAGUUUACUUUUCCAGUUAACUGGAAAUCCCUUUCAAAAUGUAGAUUCAGAUCCUUUUUAUUUCUGAUAAUUUUUCAUGGAUUAUAAUGUUAAAUAUUCUGUUCCAUUGUUUUUUAUUUCUUCUUCAGGGGUUCCAAUUAUAUGUGAGUUAUUUAUCUUUUGUUCAACUUUCUCUUUCUGACCAUUUUUCCUUCUUUUCUGUAUCGUAUUUAUUUGUUUAUUUUUGCAUCUAUCCAGUGUCUAAGUUUUCAUUAGUCUGUUUUCCUUUGGACACCUUGUAAUUUAGUCUUCAUUUAUAAUUCCCCCCCUUCCAUUUCUUUCUUGAAUUCAAUAAUCUUUAAAUUUACUCGUGGUUUUUUUAAUCUAUUUCUGUUUUUUAUAUUUUGAAUUUCCAAUUCACGGUGCUUUUUCAUAUCCCCAAAUGCUUAUCUGAGGAUUUUAUUCAGUUUGAUAUGUUGUGUUACAAUUUUCUUCUGAUUUAAUGGUUGCUUUUUGGUAGAGAAUUUUCAUCAGCCAAUGCAUGUUAAUUAUUGUUUGCUGAUUUCUCAUACUACCAUUAUAUAGAUUUAGUCCAUUUCCUUCCAUUCAUUUUUUUGAAUUUGAGGGGUUAUAAGAUUCCUAGUUCAGAAGGACUCUCUCUGUCAGCAUAGAAAAUACAAUUUCUUUAGGGGGUGUUUUUUUUAACUUUAUAGUAGAGGGAGGGAUUAUGUAUGUUCCAGUUUUUUGUUUUUUGUUUUUGUCUUGCAGGACCCUGAAUUUCUCCUGUUGCUUCUUUUCCCCUUCACCAUCCAGUUGCCAAAAGGCACCUUGCCUAUUCUUUUUGCUCUCUCCACUCCCUGAAGCUAUCCUGUAAUAAGUGUUGUGAUACUAAGAUACUUUAUAUUUUUGCACCUAGGAUAGAAUUUCUAUCUCUGCUGGUGAUUUUAGACCAAUUUUAGGCCUGCCACUAGAUCCGUUUUUCUUUAUUCUGUAUGUUCUUCUUUGGCCUGCCCUUGCUUGCUACAAAGGCUUAUGGUAGAAAUGUGAAAGAUCACUCACUUGGAUUUGGUGCUUUUAAUUUUUUUACUUAUAAGUAUUUGACAUUUGGCUAUAUUUUUCUUCUUGUUAGGCUGAGGGUGUAUUUUGUAUAGAUUUAUUUAUUCUUCUUGUUCUGUAUCGUUUAUGACGGACAUAGGUAGCUGCCAUUUUAUUUUAUUACCGCGAAGUCCUCACCUAUUCACUCUUAAAUCUACCUCAUUGAAGACUUCAAUAACUAUUUGUUGUUGGAAGCCAUAAUGAAACUGUUGAUCAAAUUACCCAAUCCAAAUCAAAUUAACCAAAAAGACUUUCUUCAGUCUUCAUAUUAAUUACCUUCCCUGCAGAACAGAACAUGGUUGCCCAUUAUGUGAAAUUCCUUUUACUUCUUUGGUGGUCCUGUCUGUUUUCUUAUGCCUAAUUGUUGCUUACGGUAUACUUGCUGUUUGUUUGUUUGUUUGUUUGUUUCUUUUAUACACUCAUUAAGUGAGUUCUCCAUCUAAAUAUCCCAUAAGGCACUUCAGAAUCAACAUAUCCAAAAGGAAACAUAUUUUACUCAUCUCCAAAUCUUUUGUUUCUCCAGCAAUUCAAGUUUUGGUGAAUGAAGCUAUGAACAAUCCAGUAAUCCAAACCAGAAACUUGAGAGUCAUCUUUUUUACACCUCCCACUUUGCAUCUCUCACAUUGAAUAAGCAAUCAUGCCCUGAGCCAUAUACUUUCUUAGCAUCUCUGCCAUCCUCCCUAUCCUCUUUGGUAUGGCCUCUCUUCAGACUGCCUCCUUAGCUCUCUUCUGGAUCACUAUAACAGCCUAACAAUUGUAUCACCUUCAGUUUUGCUCUUUCUUCCAUAUGACUAUCAGAAUUAUUUCUCUGGAAGAUCAUGUCAAUCACUCCUUCUCAGUGGUUCUUCAUUGCCUAUAGGAAGAAAUCCAAACUCCGUAGCAUGAGAGAAAUGUUUUUCAUAAUGACUUUAUCCUGCCUUUCUAUUGUUUCUUUCAUAUCAUGCCCAGCUCAGCCCCCCAUUCAAUGAAAAUCAUACUAAACUACUUUAAUUCCACUAACAUGUUGUGCUAGUUAAGCCUCUUUACCUUUGUUCAUGCUGUUUUUACUCAGACCACUCCAUUCCACAACAUACACUUGGGGGAUACCUACUAAUUUUGAAGACCCCCUUCAGCCCUGAUGUUAACCUUCUUUGUGGAAUCAUUAUUGACAUGAUGGAUAGAAUUGGUCAGAUGCUUCCUUGUUCAUCAGUUGUACUAGGCACAGCAUUCUAAUGUAGCACCUAUUACACAUUUUAAAAUUUGUUUACAUGUCUCCCCUCAUGUAAGUUUGUAGGACUGGUACCUGAAAUAUACUAGGCUUACCUUACUGACAUUUUGAAAUAUAAGAUAGCUUUCCAAGGCUUGCUUUUGCCUCCUGAUUCAGGACUCUACCAUUGGCAUCAUCAGGAAGAAUUUCUAAUAGUAUUAUUGAUCAGAGUCUUCUGGAAGUUUCUGCAGGUUACACAUCAACUUACUUUUCCCUGACAAAAUAAUUCUGCAUCUAGAAACACAAACAAGUAGUCAAAGAAGUUAUAUUGGAACUAAGAGAUGAAUUACCAAAGGAAAACUGAAAUCAAGAAACAUUUGAUGAAAUUCAGGCAAUGUCUUCAGGUGCCAGAGGACACAGAAAUGUCCCGAGAACCAUUCACAUGAUCUUAAAGAAACUUCUGCUGGUUGUCUUGUACCUUUGAAGCAGGUGUGAUUGAGAUGGAUACCUUAAUUUUUUUAAAGUAAAAAUUGUUCAUUCUCUUAUGUACUUUAGCAUACUGGUAUUCUUAUCAAAAUAUGAAACAGCAUCAAGUUUAAUAUUAAUUAUAAAACACAUGGUAUAUUUAUAUUUCUGCUCUUUAUUUUCUAAAGUUAACUCAGUUAACUCUCCAUAUAGGUAUUUGGACAUGGGCUGUAACCACUUUUUAGAACAAAUACUGUGAAGAUUGUUUUAUUACAUGACAUUUUAUGAUGUGAGAUUAACACCUUUGUGUUAGUAAACAUCCUAGAUUGUUCACUUCAAUAUAGAUUUUUAAAAUGUAUAGUUAUACUUGUGCAGGAUACUAGAAAAUGAAAAUGACUGUUCACACAUGCUUUAUUAUUCAGUAAUUUUACAAGAAAAUAUUACUGUUUGAAAGAAAAUCAUGCAUGCCUAAAACUGAUUCUGUUCCAGUUUUAUAAGUUAGUAUACUAAUUUUAAGACAUUGUGUAUAUUUCCUUCACUUAAUUUCUAUUUUCUACUGCAUUUCUACCAAUAUAAAAAACAAAGAAUUCAGUUGGUUCCUUUCUAGAGGGAAAAUUUGUUGUGAGUAUAGUACUGGGCAUCACAUGCUGCUUCCCUUUGUGGCUUUGAAUAAACCCUUAUUUUCUUGUCCAUUUUGUCUCAAAGAAUUUUAAAUGGCAUUGUCUAAACUCAGGAGUAUUGUGUGGAUUGAUUAGUAUGAGAAGUUUCUUUCAUGGUAAGUAUAGAGUUUAAGUAUAUAAAAUCAACUCUUGGUCAUAUAUGUAAAACACAAUUGAGAAGUAAAACUUGCCAUCAACUCUUGGUUAUAUACAAAAAAAUUGAGAAGUAAAACUUGCCAUACAUAUUAGUACAAGUAAUUAAAAACGGAUUAUAGCUUGAAAGGCAUUAGAUCUCACAUUAUUUACAUUCUCACUCCUUUUAGCUCCUUUGCUUUUUUGUUCUCUUGUUUGCAAAGAUUAAAAAUAAUGUUCCUGGCAUUUUAAUGGAACAUUACCAAAUGUACAUUCAUGUGUAUUGAUCAAAGACCAACUUUCAUUAGUGAAAAAAUCUAAUUUUUUCUAGACCAAUUAAAAGGAUAAAAUUCUCUUAUUUGAAUAAUAAGAGAAUUAAAGAGUUUAUUAAGCAAAAACAGUUGCUGAAAAAGCGUAGCAAAGACUGACUAGACUGGCUAGAAUUUCCUCUUCUUCCAGGACAGAUGGUUCUACGACAUUUUAAGCCUUCUUUGUAAUGGCCGAGUGACUGGGUUCUAGCUAGUGGAAUGUGAGUGGAAGCCUUUUACCUCAGAAAAGACACACAAUUCUGCAUGCCCUUUCCCCUUCUGUGGCAUGGUGCAAACAUGCAUGGUGACUUUGGAAGCCACAUUUUGACGAUGGUGGAGCCGCAAGAUGAAAAGAGCCUAGGUUCCUGAAUCACCAGGUGGAGGAAUAUUGCCAAUCCAUCAGUAAUGUAUUUUGUACUUUAUCAGAGCAAUAAAUAAAAUUCUCUACUUUUAGAGCCAUUAUACAUUUUUUUUUUUUAUUUUCAUUGCAGUUGUCGCCUGAACCUAUAUAGAAAUUGGUACCUUGAAAAGUGGAGGUUUCUGAACAAAAAAACCUUUAAGUUUUGCAGACUGUUCAAGAAGAAUGGUGCCAGCAUCUGCAUCAGGUGAUGGCUUCAAGUUAAAGAAAGAAGGUUCAUGGAAGAAGGUGAAGGGGAGCCAAGCUGGCUGUGUACAGAUAGCACAUAACCAGAAAGGAAGCAAGAGAUAUCCAGUUGUCCCAGCACAAUUUUUUGAUAAGACUAUUGUUUUCUUUCAUUGAAUUUGUUUGGCAAACUUACCAAAAAUCAAUUGACCGUAAGUAUAAGGAUGGAUUUCUGGACUCUCAAUUGUAUUUCACUGGUGUAUGUCUGUCCUUAUAUCAGUACCACACAGUCUUGAUUAUUUGCUUUUGUGGAUUCUUUAGGGGGUUACAUAUACACAAUCAUGUCAUUUGUGAAGAGAGACUGUUUUACUUUUUCCAUAUGGACUCGUUUUUAUUUAAUUUUCUUACCUAAUUCCUUUUCUAGAACCCACAGUACAAUGUUGACUAGAAGCUGAAAAAUUGGACACUGUUUUUCUGGAUUGUAAGCGAGAAACAUUGUGUCUCACCAUUAAGUAUGAUGUUAGCUAUGGUUUUCAUAAAUACCUUUUAUCAGGUUGAGGAACAUUCCUUCUCUAUUAAUUUCCCAGGGAUGCUAUAACAAAAUGCUAUAAAUUUGAUGGCAUAAACAGUACAUUAUUGUCUCAUUUCUGGGGGCCAGAAGUCUGAAAUCAAGGAAUUAGCAGGGCCACACUCCAUCUGGAGGGUCUAGGGAAGAAUUCUUCCUUGCCUCUUCCAUCCUGUGGUUGCUAUCAGAAUUCCUUGGCUUCCUUGGCUUGUGAUAACAUAAUCUAAUCUCUGCCUCCAUCUUCACAUAGCCUUAUUCUCUCUGUCUGUGUCUGCCCCUUUUCUAAGGAAACUUGUCACUGGAUUUAAGGAAUACCUGAAUAUUCCAGAUUUAUCUCAUUUCAGGAUUCUUCACUGAAUUACAUCUGCAAAGAUCUGUCUUCCAAAUAAGGUGCCAUCCACAGUUUUGAGGAUUAGGGCACAGAUUUCUUUUGGGGGUAUUCGGGGUACUGUUCAACCACUACAGUCUGCCCCCUAGCUCCCCACAAUUCACAUUUAUCUCACAUAUCUUCUUUCAUCUUCUUUCAUUCCUGAUCCUGAUUAUUUGAGUCUUCUCUCUCUUUUUGUUGGUUAGACUAAUUAAAAGUUUAUCAACUUUUAUAUCUUUUCAAAGAAGCAAUUUUUGAUUUUUUCUUUUCUAUUUAUUUAUUUAUUUAGAGACGG